GUGCACCAGUCGCGAAAACUCCGCAAUACGCGAAAGCGUGACGGGGCCAUCCCGAGUGCCGACCGCUGAGGUUGGCUUUUACCCAGUCUAGAAAGCUGGGGGAAUAAGGAGAGGGCAAGUCUGGUGUCAGCCGCCGCGGUAAUACCAGCUCUCCGAGUGGUGUGGACGUUUAUUGGGCCUAAAGCAUCCGUAGCUGGCUGAACAAGUCCCCUGUUAAACCCACCGAUUUAAUCGUUGGCUUGCGGGGGAUACUGCUCGGCUAGGGGACGAGAGAGGCAGACGGUAUUCCCGGGGUAGGGGUGAAAUACUAUAAGCCCGAGAAGACCACCAGUGGCGAAGGCUGUCUGCUAGAACGCGCCCGACGGUGAGGGAUGAAAGCUGGGGGAGCGAACCGGAUUAGAUAACCGGGUAGUCC
This 415-nucleotide ribosomal RNA is filed under the name uncultured crenarchaeote. RNAcentral's name for it is "partial 16S ribosomal RNA". It matches the Rfam family "Archaeal small subunit ribosomal RNA", at positions 330 to 747 of the family's 1478-position model. Lineage: Archaea; Thermoproteati; Thermoproteota. The record is from RNAcentral.